Molecule: unclassified non-coding RNA, 293 nt
Organism: Macaca fascicularis (crab-eating macaque)
Lineage: Eukaryota; Metazoa; Chordata; Mammalia; Primates; Cercopithecidae
Rfam family: Metazoan signal recognition particle RNA
About the family: The signal recognition particle (SRP) is a universally conserved ribonucleoprotein. It is involved in the co-translational targeting of proteins to membranes.
Source: Ensembl
UCUGUGCGAGGUAAUGUGCUCAGAACUGGAGUUACAGAGAGGAGCAGAGCAGAACACAGCUCUCUUAUGAAGUUCUGGGCUGUAGUGUGCUAUGAGGUUCAGGUGUCUGCACUAAGUUCAACAUCAAUAUGGCCUCCUGGGAACAGGGUACCACUAGGUUGCCUAAGGAAGGGUGAACUGGCACAGAUCAGAAACAGAGUGGGUCAAAGCUCUUAUGCCGAUCAGUAGUGGGAUUGUGCCUGUGAAUAGCCACUGCCCUACAGCCUGGGCAACAUAGUGAGACCCCAUCUCUC